This 112-nucleotide ribosomal RNA is filed under the name uncultured eukaryote. RNAcentral's name for it is "partial small subunit ribosomal RNA". It matches the Rfam family "Eukaryotic small subunit ribosomal RNA", at positions 1675 to 1785 of the family's 1831-position model. The record is from RNAcentral.
GUCGCUACUACCGAUUGAAUGGCUUAGUGAGCUCUCUGGACUGUUGCACGCUGUUGGAAACUUCGGUGCGCAUACGGGAAGGAGAUCAAACUUGAUCAUUUAGAGGAAGUAA